UAAUGAAUUUAUAAUACUGAAAUUUUGUUUGUUAAUCAUAAUUAAUUUAAGAAGUAUUUGGCGGUAUUAGGUUAAAUUCUGAGGAACUUGUUUAUUUAAAUUGAUAUUACCCGUUAAAUUUCACUUAUAAUUAUUUUUAUAUAUUGCUGUUUAAUUUAUUAUUUGUUAUUUUUAAUAAAUUUAAAUAUUAAUUUAGAUGUUAAUAAAGUGUUCAAGUCAAAAUGUAGAUAUUUAUAAGGAUAAAUGAGUUACGUUUAUAUUGUAAUAUGAAGCUUUAAAUUUUAAAUGAAAUUAUUGUAGUUUAAUGUUGGAUUAGGGAGUAAAAAGAAAAUAGUUAGUUUUUUUGAUAUUUUUUAUCGAUAUGU
RNAcentral lists this ribosomal RNA (365 nucleotides) under Bamazomus sp. SCH093. RNAcentral's name for it is "partial small subunit ribosomal RNA". Lineage: Eukaryota; Metazoa; Arthropoda; Arachnida; Schizomida; Hubbardiidae. The record is from RNAcentral.